CGGUAGCUCGUCAGGCUCAUAACCUGAAGGUCGCAGGUUCAAAUCCUGCUCCCGCAACCA
RNAcentral lists this transfer RNA (60 nucleotides) under Limimaricola variabilis. Its description in RNAcentral is "tRNA-OTHER". It matches the Rfam family "tRNA", at positions 16 to 71 of the family's 71-position model. From Rfam's summary of the family: Transfer RNA (tRNA) molecules are approximately 80 nucleotides in length. Their secondary structure includes four short double-helical elements and three loops (D, anti-codon, and T loops). The record is from RNAcentral. Lineage: Bacteria; Pseudomonadati; Pseudomonadota; Alphaproteobacteria; Rhodobacterales; Paracoccaceae.